UUCCGCGCACGCGACUGGCGAUAAGCGAGAGUCAUCCUUCGGAGCUCGGCGCUGAAGUGGAAUACCACUGGGAAGCGUGCCGCUCCCUGCGCCGACCGGCAUGCGGAGCGAUCAGCCGUUCGCCUGGGCAGCCCUU
RNAcentral lists this non-coding RNA (136 nucleotides) under Burkholderiales bacterium 8X. RNAcentral describes it as "pfl". It matches the Rfam family "ZMP/ZTP riboswitch aptamer (pfl RNA motif)". Rfam says of the family: Previously known as pfl RNA. ZMP is also known as AICAR. The record is from RNAcentral. Lineage: Bacteria; Pseudomonadati; Pseudomonadota; Betaproteobacteria; Burkholderiales.